CAUGCGCAUCUGUGGCAUCAAACAUGGCUGAUCUAAUAAGAUAACCGAAAGCGGUGUGAUGAAUUUGCUUUGUUUUUAGUGCUGGAUGGUUAAAUAGAUACGUUUGCGACCUGAAAGUGGCCCUUCAUGAUAAGAAGCAGAUCCGUGAUGGACUGAUAAUGGUCGAUCUUUCAAUGGGGGAGAGGUAGCUUAAUCAUCGUUAUUGAACUAUCUUAAUGGUUUGUAUUGUCCACCGUUCGAUAUAUCAUGUGUGAGCCGUAAUGGAAUAUUUAUCUUCCUUUUGGUUUUCCGCUUUAUGGUUACGCCUCAAACAAACAUCAAUACACCCUAAAUUGUUUCACAACUAGCCGAAAAAUUGUAAAUUAUUUUUGAAUAAAUUUUCAACAAGUA
This is a long non-coding RNA of Tribolium madens (black flour beetle), 390 nucleotides long. RefSeq lists it as uncharacterized. NCBI's taxonomy places the organism in Eukaryota, Metazoa, Arthropoda, Insecta, Coleoptera, Tenebrionidae. The transcript has 2 exons. The record is from RefSeq and is a predicted model, not a curated record.